RNAcentral lists this ribosomal RNA (497 nucleotides) under uncultured bacterium. RNAcentral describes it as "partial 16S ribosomal RNA". It matches the Rfam family "Bacterial small subunit ribosomal RNA", at positions 28 to 507 of the family's 1533-position model. The record is from RNAcentral.
GAUGAACGCUGGCGGCGUGCCUAAUACAUGCAAGUCGAGCGAACAGACGAGGAGCUUGCUCCUUCGACGUUAGCGGCGGACGGGUGAGUAACACGUAGGUAACCUACCUACAAGACUGGGAUAACUUCGGGAAACCGGAGCUAAUACCGGAUAAUAUUUCGAACCGCAUGGUUCGAUAGUGAAAGAUGGCUUUGCUAUCACUUAUAGAUGGACCUGCGCCGUAUUAGCUAGUUGGUAAGGUAACGGCUUACCAAGGCAACGAUACGUAGCCGACCUGAGAGGGUGAUCGGCCACACUGGAACUGAGACACGGUCCAGACUCCUACGGGAGGCAGCAGUAGGGAAUCUUCCGCAAUGGGCGAAAGCCUGACGGAGCAACGCCGCGUGAGUGAUGAAGGUCUUCGGAUCGUAAAACUCUGUUAUUAGGGAAGAACAAACGUGUAAGUAACUGUGCACGUCUUGACGGUACCUAAUCAGAAAGCCACGGCUAACUACGUG